RNAcentral lists this ribosomal RNA (421 nucleotides) under uncultured bacterium. RNAcentral's name for it is "bacterial SSU rRNA". It matches the Rfam family "Bacterial small subunit ribosomal RNA", at positions 355 to 773 of the family's 1533-position model. The record is from RNAcentral.
UGAGGGAUAUUGGUCAAUUGGCGAGAGCCUGAACCAGCCAAGUCGCGUGAAGGAAGAAGGUUCUAUGGAUUGUAAACUUCUUUUGUAAGGGAAUAAAAAGUGGUACGUGUACCAUAUUGUAUGUACUUUACGAAUAAGGAUCGGCUAACUCCGUGCCAGCAGCCGCGGUAAUACGGAGGAUCCAAGCGUUAUCUGGAUUUAUUGGGUUUAAAGGGUGCGUAGGCGGAUCUUUAAGUCAGUGGUGAAAGUUUGCGACUCAACCGUAAAAUUGCAGUUGAAACUGAAAAUAUUGAGUGUAAAUGAGGUAGGCGUAAUGUGUUGUGUAGCGGUAAAAUGCUUAGAUAUAACACAGAACACCAAUUGCGAAGGCAGCUUACUGGGAUACAACUGACGCUGAGGCACGAAUGCGUGGAGAUCAAAC